GGAGGAAAGCAGGGGAUCGCAAGACCUUGCGCUUUUGGAGCGGCCGAUGUCUGAUUAGCUAGUUGGUGAGGUAAAGGCUUACCAAGGCGUCGAUCAGUAGCUGGUCUGAGAGGACGACCAGCCACACUGGGACUGAGACACGGCCCAGACUCCUACGGGAGGCAGCAGUGGGGAAUUUUGGACAAUGGGGGAAACCCUGAUCCAGCCAUGCCGCGUGAGUGAAGAAGGCCUUCAGGUUGUAAAGCUCUUUCAGCCGGAACGAAACGGUCACGGUUAAUACCCGUGACAACUGACGGUACCGGAAGAAGAAGCACCGGCUAACUACGCGCCAGCAGCCGCGGUAAUACGUAGGGUGUGAGCGUUAAUCGGAAUUACUGGGCGUAAAGCGUGCGCAGGCGGCUUUGUAAGUCAGAUGUGAAAUCCCCGGGCUUAACCUGGGAACUGCGUUUGAAACUACAAAGCUAGA
RNAcentral lists this ribosomal RNA (466 nucleotides) under uncultured ammonia-oxidizing bacterium. RNAcentral describes it as "bacterial SSU rRNA". It matches the Rfam family "Bacterial small subunit ribosomal RNA", at positions 198 to 645 of the family's 1533-position model. The record is from RNAcentral.